This 2234-nucleotide ribosomal RNA is filed under the name Salmonella enterica subsp. enterica serovar Minnesota. Its description in RNAcentral is "bacterial LSU rRNA". It matches the Rfam family "Bacterial large subunit ribosomal RNA", at positions 594 to 2812 of the family's 2925-position model. Lineage: Bacteria; Pseudomonadati; Pseudomonadota; Gammaproteobacteria; Enterobacterales; Enterobacteriaceae. The record is from RNAcentral.
UGACUGCGUACCUUUUGUAUAAUGGGUCAGCGACUUAUAUUCUGUAGCAAGGUUAACCGAAUAGGGGAGCCGGAGGGAAACCGAGUCUUAAUUGGGCGUUAAGUUGCAGGGUAUAGACCCGAAACCCGGUGAUCUAGCCAUGGGCAGGUUGAAGGUUGGGUAACACUAACUGGAGGACCGAACCGACUAAUGUUGAAAAAUUAGCGGAUGACCUGUGGCUGGGGGUGAAAGGCCAAUCAAACCGGGAGAUAGCUGGUUCUCCCCGAAAGCUAUUUAGGUAGCGCCUCGUGAAUUCAUCUCCGGGGGUAGAGCACUGUUUCGGCUAGGGGGCCAUCCCGGCUUACCAACCCGAUGCAAACUGCGAAUACCGGAGAAUGUUAUCACGGGAGACACACGGCGGGUGCUAACGUCCGUCGUGAAGAGGGAAACAACCCAGACCGCCAGCUAAGGUCCCAAAGUCAUGGUUAAGUGGGAAACGAUGUGGGAAGGCCCAGACAGCCAGGAUGUUGGCUUAGAAGCAGCCAUCAUUUAAAGAAAGCGUAAUAGCUCACUGGUCGAGUCGGCCUGCGCGGAAGAUGUAACGGGGCUAAACCAUGCACCGAAGCUGCGGCAGCGACACUAGGUGUUGUUGGGUAGGGGAGCGUUCUGUAAGCCUGUGAAGGUGGCCUGUGAGGGUUGCUGGAGGUAUCAGAAGUGCGAAUGCUGACAUAAGUAACGAUAAAGCGGGUGAAAAGCCCGCUCGCCGGAAGACCAAGGGUUCCUGUCCAACGUUAAUCGGGGCAGGGUGAGUCGACCCCUAAGGCGAGGCCGAAAGGCGUAGUCGAUGGGAAACGGGUUAAUAUUCCCGUACUUGGUGUUACUGCGAAGGGGGGACGGAGAAGGCUAUGUUGGCCGGGCGACGGUUGUCCCGGUUUAAGCGUGUAGGUGUGUGUUCCAGGUAAAUCCGGUUCACUUUAACACUGAGGCGUGACGACGAGGCACUACGGUGCUGAAGCAACAAAUGCCCUGCUUCCAGGAAAAGCCUCUAAGCAUCAGGUAACAUCAAAUCGUACCCCAAACCGACACAGGUGGUCAGGUAGAGAAUACCAAGGCGCUUGAGAGAACUCGGGUGAAGGAACUAGGCAAAAUGGUGCCGUAACUUCGGGAGAAGGCACGCUGACACGUAGGUGAAGUGAUUUACUCAUGGAGCUGAAGUCAGUCGAAGAUACCAGCUGGCUGCAACUGUUUAUUAAAAACACAGCACUGUGCAAACACGAAAGUGGACGUAUACGGUGUGACGCCUGCCCGGUGCCGGAAGGUUAAUUGAUGGGGUCAGCGCAAGCGAAGCUCCUGAUCGAAGCCCCGGUAAACGGCGGCCGUAACUAUAACGGUCCUAAGGUAGCGAAAUUCCUUGUCGGGUAAGUUCCGACCUGCACGAAUGGCGUAAUGAUGGCCAGGCUGUCUCCACCCGAGACUCAGUGAAAUUGAACUCGCUGUGAAGAUGCAGUGUACCCGCGGCAAGACGGAAAGACCCCGUGAACCUUUACUAUAGCUUGACACUGAACAUUGAGCCUUGAUGUGUAGGAUAGGUGGGAGGCUUUGAAGUGUGGACGCCAGUCUGCAUGGAGCCGACCUUGAAAUACCACCCUUUAAUGUUUGAUGUUCUAACGUGGACCCGUGAUCCGGGUUGCGGACAGUGUCUGGUGGGUAGUUUGACUGGGGCGGUCUCCUCCUAAAGAGUAACGGAGGAGCACGAAGGUUGGCUAAUCCUGGUCGGACAUCAGGAGGUUAGUGCAAUGGCAUAAGCCAGCUUGACUGCGAGCGUGACGGCGCGAGCAGGUGCGAAAGCAGGUCAUAGUGAUCCGGUGGUUCUGAAUGGAAGGGCCAUCGCUCAACGGAUAAAAGGUACUCCGGGGAUAACAGGCUGAUACCGCCCAAGAGUUCAUAUCGACGGCGGUGUUUGGCACCUCGAUGUCGGCUCAUCACAUCCUGGGGCUGAAGUAGGUCCCAAGGGUAUGGCUGUUCGCCAUUUAAAGUGGUACGCGAGCUGGGUUUAGAACGUCGUGAGACAGUUCGGUCCCUAUCUGCCGUGGGCGCUGGAGAACUGAGGGGGGCUGCUCCUAGUACGAGAGGACCGGAGUGGACGCAUCACUGGUGUUCGGGUUGUCAUGCCAAUGGCACUGCCCGGUAGCUAAAUGCGGAAGAGAUAAGUGCUGAAAGCAUCUAAGCACGAAACUUGCCCCGAGAUGAGUUCU